AGUGAACGCUGGCGGCAUGCCUAACACAUGCAAGUCGAACGGCAGCACAGUAAGAGCUUGCUCUUACGGGUGGCGAGUGGCGGACGGGGGAGGAAUACAGCGGAAUCUACUGUUUCGAGGGGGGUAACGUAGGGAAACUAACGCUAAUACCGCAUACGACCUACGGGUGAAAGCAGGGGAUCUUCGGACCUUGCGCGAUUGAAUGAGCCGAUGUAGGAUUAGCUAGUUGGCGGGGUAAAGGCCCACCAAGGCGACGAUCCGUAGCUGGUCUGAGAGGGUGGACAGGCACCCUGGAACUGAGAAAGGGCCCAGACACCUAGGGGAGGCAACAGUGGGGAAUAUUGGGGAAUGGGGGAGAGCGUGAUACAGCAAUACCGAGUGAGUUAAGAAGGAGUUCGGCUUGUAAAGCCCUUUUGUUGGGAAAGAAGAGCAGCAGGAUAAGACCGCGCUAUUAUGACGGUACCCAAAGAAUAAGCACCGGCUAACUACGUG
Molecule: ribosomal RNA, 492 nt
Filed under: uncultured bacterium
Lineage: Bacteria
Description: partial 16S ribosomal RNA
Rfam family: Bacterial small subunit ribosomal RNA
Source: RNAcentral